Manihot esculenta (cassava) is the source of this 2357-nucleotide long non-coding RNA. RefSeq lists it as uncharacterized. The transcript has 5 exons. Lineage: Eukaryota; Viridiplantae; Streptophyta; Magnoliopsida; Malpighiales; Euphorbiaceae. The record is from RefSeq and is a predicted model, not a curated record.
GGCGGCUGAAAGUUUUUUCAAGCGGGCUCCUUCCGUCGUUUCCUUAAGGUCAACUUUAGUCUCCUCUGCUUUCAGUUUCACGAGCCAGCAACUUCAACUCCUAUCUCCUAUCUCUCCUCUAUCAAGUGGUAGGUGGUCUUGCUCAUCUGCUUGGACUCUGUGAACAAAUAUCAGUUAAAUCAUGGUACUCUAUAUCCGUUUGAAACUGGCAAGGACUUUAUAUUGUGAAUCACUUGAAGAAAGGACGUAUGGUAGUUUAUACCUGUAAUAUGGAGCUUUCCCCUUAUAGAAAACCAUGGUUUUCUUCACUCCAAUCACUCGGCUAUCGGAUGAGUAAACAUAACCAGGGGAGCCAGUGGCUUUCCAGUACCCAGAUGCUGUAGUACGGCUGGGUCUCCCUCCUCUAGCUUCUCUUUCUUGUCUUGGUGUGAAGAAGAACCAUUGCUCAGUGUCUCCUCGACACCGUUCUCCUGCAAGCACUGCAUCACAUUGCAAGAAGCAAACUUAAAGUACUAUUCAACUUCUAUAUGGAGCAUUUUAAAUCGUCAUUAACUUCAUGAAAAAACAAAGAAAUUUGAUUGAGAAGGAUUGUGUACUUGGGAGGUUCCAUGGCUCUAUGUUGUAAAUGUCAAUUACAGGGAUAACACGGUGUAGCUCCUGUCUCUUCCCGUCUAGCUUGUUAUGCAGGUAGAAGGAAACUAGCUCUUCUUCUGUUGGGUAGAAGCGAAAACCUGGCGGAAGUUCCACCAUUUUUGUUUUUAUUGUUGUUGCUAUUGUGUUUUGUUAUGUCUAAAUAUGUCUGCAUGAACUGUAUCUAUAUAGGGAGGUAUAUUGGGGAAAAGGAUGGGAGAUGGGUUUGCCGAGUGAAAUGAGAAAAAUUGGCAAGGGUUUGUGAUUGGCUGAAACUUCCACGCGGUUGUAGAAGAAGAUAAUGGUUUUUGCCCUAUGAUGUUUCGCCAGGCGUCCACAUACAUUCCUCAUCCAAUGGAAGGAUGCCUUGAACGAGUCAGACAUCCUUUUCUCCGAUGUGGUGCUUGUCCAUGAGUUAGUAGCUGCACGCUCCUGGGAUAAGAUUAUGCCAACCAUCGAUUGUUUUAUGGGUCCUCUUAAAGUGUUUAUCUUGUGAUAUAAGUAUAUAUAUUUAUUAAUAUCCAACUGAUGAUCGAAACGUUUUAGAGAUGAUGAGCUCAUUGUGGGGCUAGUACGUGCCAGGCGGAGGACGCAAAAGCUGGUCUUUUUUAUUUGUGGUUAUUUUAUAUCUUGCAUGUACAUAGAGCAUCAAUUUUCAAAGCACGUGCAAUUCGUAUAGAAUUGGCGAAUUUGACUUUCUCCUGCUAAUGUCAAGGUAAGGCUUAUGCUGAUUAGAGAAAUCAUGAUCCAAGUGUAAGAGGUAAGCUUCGUCAAUUCGAAUAUAAAUAUGCUUUCUCUUCAUAAUUCUUUCAUGUUAGUGAGCUAAGAUUAUUGGAGUAGUCUUCAAGCUGUAAAGUCUCCAUUUCUAAUCUAAAUCAGAGUAAAAUAAAUCAAAACAAUUUAAAAAAUACAAAAAUAACUUGGUGAAGAAAUAUAGUAUUGAACCUUUGAAGAAGUCCUAGUAUGGAUGAUGAUAAAUCUCAAUCACCCUCGGAAAAGAGUAAAAUAUAUUUGAUGCUGAGGUGAAUCGACUGAAAAAGACAGGAGAUAAAUUACGAACUUGUCAAGUGGCCUCUUUCUACUUCUAGCUACUCUAUAAGAUAUGGUGCUCGUUGUCUAGACCUAGUCUUUGAGCUCAUGAGUGAUAAAAUCGGGGGUGGGGAACAUGAAUUUGAUAUAAUGCUUGAAAACUCAGUACCCAUUUCAUUUGGUCCUUCAAAAACUCUUUAGUGUUCUGUUAUGUUUCGUAUCUUUUUUAUUUUUUUCUUUUUCUUAACGUAUCGACGCGGACUUGUGAUAAUAACACCAACGUUUUACCUUUUCAAUGUCAUACCCGCGUUUUGGGCUUUCGCAGGGAAAUUUUCUCAAACAUGUUAUAGGGGUUUUGGGUGAUAUCCUCUUUGACUUUAAACUUGAACCAUUUUAGACUUAACCAAAAUCAGCACGACAUUUACAACACUGACCUAGUCUCGACCGUUUAUGGUUCUUUUUACAUUUAUUUGAAUCUUAUUCCUAUUUUGUUAAAAAUCAAUAGUUAUUUUUUCAAAUAAUGAAAAAUAAUUGUUUUUAAUUCUGAAAAGAAAUUUGAGUCUGAUCAUAAUUACAAAAUACCUCAUCUUGACAUCACUAAGUGGUGCAAAGCAUGAUGCAAAAAAUGAACAGUUUUCAAGCAUCCAUGAAAUUAUUUUUUCAAUUAAUAGAAAAAUCAAGCUGUUUUUUAAGGAUAA